CUAGAUUGUGAAGUUUACACUUAGCCUGUGUCUAAACAUUUGCCUGGAAAUUUGCAGCCAUGCUGAACACAUGCAUCCCUCCUGCAGCCUACAGCAGACAUAUGAUAGAAAGGAGACGGUCGUCAGGGUGCUGGGCUCAGUGGGAAGUCAAAGAUGCUGUAGUGUGAAAUGCACUUACAUGGGCUGACCUUUGUAAAGGCACCACUCACAUGCUCCUGAGAUUCCCAUAUAGCCUAACAGCAUGUUAGAACGGUCACAACCCAAAGACUCCAUGUCUGAUCAUUUCUGAUGCUUGGCAGCCCAUUCCAAAGGCAUCUCCCCCUCUACAUUUGCCUUUGAGCACAGUUGAGGCACUGCCUUCCCAAAGGACCCCAUUCCUGUCCCUUCCUGCAAUCUUCAGUCACAUAGAAAGACAUCUCCCCUGGCAUCAUCAGUGUCCAGUACAAUAAAAAGUCACCAGAAUCGUCAAGCUGGAUCCAAUGCCAGCCCAGGUCCAGGCUGAAGCUUUCUUCUCUAGAUGCCCAGGAAAGGCACGAUAGUUCAGUCAUAUUAGGUUCCUGCCAGCUAAGAAGCCUAAGUUUCAAAGAAAAAGGCACCAUUCAUCCCAAAUUCACCAUGGUCUGACUUUUGU
RNAcentral lists this long non-coding RNA (631 nucleotides) under Homo sapiens (human). RNAcentral's name for it is "HSALNT0233457". The record is from RNAcentral. Lineage: Eukaryota; Metazoa; Chordata; Mammalia; Primates; Hominidae.